Molecule: ribosomal RNA, 465 nt
Filed under: uncultured bacterium
Lineage: Bacteria
Description: partial 16S ribosomal RNA
Rfam family: Bacterial small subunit ribosomal RNA
Source: RNAcentral
GACGAACGCUGGCGGCGUGCUUAACACAUGCCAGUCGAACGGAAAGGCCCUGCUUGCCGGGUACUCGAGUGGCGAACGGGUGAGUAACACGUGGGUGAUCUGCCCUGCACUUCGGGAUAAGCCUGUGAAACUGGGUCUAAUACCGGAUAGGAGCCAUUUUUAGUGUGAUGGUUGGAAAGUUUUUUCGGUGUAGGAUGAGCUCGCGGCCUAUCAGCUUGUUGGUGGGGUAAUGGCCUACCAAGGCGGCGACGGGUAGCCGGCCUGAGAGGGUGGACGGCCAAAUUGGGACUGAGAUACGGCCCAGACUCCUACGGGAGGCAGCAGUGGGGAAGAUUGCACAAUGGGCGCAAGCCUGAUGCAGCGACGCCGCGUGGGGGAUGACGGACUUCGGGUUGUAAACUCCUUUCGCUAGGGACGAAGCUUUUUGUGACGGUACCUAGAUAAGAAGCACCGGCUAACUACGUG